This 275-nucleotide RNase P RNA is filed under the name Dracunculus medinensis (Guinea worm). RNAcentral describes it as "Nuclear RNase P". It matches the Rfam family "Nuclear RNase P", at positions 1 to 263 of the family's 301-position model. Rfam says of the family: Ribonuclease P (RNase P) is a ubiquitous endoribonuclease, found in archaea, bacteria and eukarya as well as chloroplasts and mitochondria. Its best characterised activity is the generation of mature 5'-ends of tRNAs by cleaving the 5'-leader elements of precursor-tRNAs. Cellular RNase Ps are ribonucleoproteins. The record is from Rfam by way of RNAcentral. Lineage: Eukaryota; Metazoa; Nematoda; Chromadorea; Rhabditida; Dracunculidae.
AUAAGAUGAAUAUGAAUGAUGCACUUUUAACAUAAACAAGCGCUUAUGUCGCUUAUCUGAGAACUCCUGGGAAGGUCUGAGAAAAGGUACUAUGUUAUGUGAAUCUUCUAGCAGGAGAGUGGCGUAAUACGCUGCAAGGUUCGUACUAGAAAAACGGCACACUUCAUAUAUGAUGAACGCAUGAGGGCUUCACUGGUGCCAGACGUGCAUAUAUGAAGUGUUGGAAGGAGACCCUCGUACCGGCUGUGCUUAGUGCAAUAACCAGAUGGAAUUAU